RNAcentral lists this ribosomal RNA (452 nucleotides) under uncultured Pseudomonadota bacterium. Its description in RNAcentral is "bacterial SSU rRNA". It matches the Rfam family "Bacterial small subunit ribosomal RNA", at positions 446 to 896 of the family's 1533-position model. The record is from RNAcentral. Lineage: Bacteria; Pseudomonadati; Pseudomonadota.
CGGUCACGGUUAAUACCCGUGACUACUGACGGUACCGGAAGAAGAAGCACCGGCUAACUACGUGCCAGCAGCCGCGGUAAUACGUAGGGUGCGAGCGUUAAUCGGAAUUACUGGGCGUAAAGCGUGCGCAGGCGGUUUUGUAAGUCAGAUGUGAAAUCCCCGGGCUUAACCUGGGAACUGCGUUUGAAACUACAAGGCUAGAGUGUGGCAGAGGGGGGUGGAAUUCCACGUGUAGCAGUGAAAUGCGUAGAGAUGUGGAGGAACACCGAUGGCGAAGGCAGCCCCCUGGGUUAACACUGACGCUCAGGCACGAAAGCGUGGGGAGCAAACAGGAUUAGAUACCCUGGUAGUCCACGCCCUAAACGAUGUCAACUAGUUGUCGGGUCUUAACGGACUUGGUAACGCAGCUAACGCGUGAAGUUGACCGCCUGGGGAGUACGGUCGCAAGAUUA